GACGAACGCUGGCGGCGUGCUUACCUCAUGCAAGUCGAGCGAUGAAGUUUCUUCGGAGAUGGAUUAGCGGCGAACGGGUGAGGAACACGUGAAAAAUCUGCCCUCCACUUUGGGAUAACUCCGGGAAACCGGGGCUAAUACCGAAUAUUGAAAUAUAAGUGGCAUCACUGAGUUUUGAAAGAAUUUUGGUGGAGGAUGACUUCGCGGCCUAUCAGCUAGUUGGUGAGGUAACGGCUCACCAAGGCAACGACGGGUAGCCGGCCUGAGAGGGCGACCGGCCACACUGGGACUGAGACACGGCCCAAACUCCUACGGGAGGCAGCAGUGGGGAAUAUUGGGCAAUGGACGCAAGUCUGACCCAGCGACGCCGCGGGCGGAAUGAAGGCCUUCGGGUUGUAAACCGCUUUCAGUAGGGAAGAAGCGAAAGUGACGGUACCUACAAAAGAAGC
This 449-nucleotide ribosomal RNA is filed under the name uncultured bacterium. RNAcentral describes it as "bacterial SSU rRNA". It matches the Rfam family "Bacterial small subunit ribosomal RNA", at positions 28 to 491 of the family's 1533-position model. The record is from RNAcentral.